UUCGGGGAAUGCUUAGCGGCGGACGGGUGAGUAACACGUAGGCAACCUGCCUGUCAGAUCGGGAUAACUAUCGGAAACGAUAGCUAAGACCGGAUACCUGGUUUCUCCGCAUGGAGAGAUCAUGAAACACGGAGCAAUCUGUGGCUGACAGAUGGGCCUGCGGCGCAUUAGCUAGUUGGUGAGGUAACGGCUCACCAAGGCGACGAUGCGUAGCCGACCUGAGAGGGUGAACGGCCACACUGGGACUGAGACACGGCCCAGACUCCUACGGGAGGCAGCAGUAGGGAAUCUUCCGCAAUGGACGCAAGUCUGACGGAGCAACGCCGCGUGAGUGAUGAAGGUUUUCGGAUCGUAAAGCUCUGUUGCCCUAGACGAACAGCAAGGAGAGUAACUGCUCUUUGUGUGACGGUAUAGGAGAAGAAAGCCCCGGCUAACUACGUGCCAGCAGCCGCGGUAAUACGUAGGGGGCAAGCGUUGUCCGGAAUUAUUGGGCGUAAAGCGCGCGCAGGCGGCUUGGUAAGUCUGGUGUUUAAGCCCGGGGCUCAACCCCGGUUCGCAUUGGAAACUGCCAGGCUGGAGUGUAGGAGAGGAAAGUGGAAUUCCACGUGUAGCGGUGAAAUGCGUAGAGAUGUGGAGGAACACCAGUGGCGAAGGCGACUUUCUGGCCUAUAACUGACGCUGAGGCGCGAAAGCGUGGGGAGCAAACAGGAUUAGAUACCCUGGUAGUCCACGCCGUAAACGAUGAGUGCUAGGUGUCGG
Molecule: ribosomal RNA, 759 nt
Filed under: Paenibacillus chondroitinus
Lineage: Bacteria; Bacillati; Bacillota; Bacilli; Caryophanales; Paenibacillaceae
Description: bacterial SSU rRNA
Rfam family: Bacterial small subunit ribosomal RNA
Source: RNAcentral